Molecule: ribosomal RNA, 301 nt
Filed under: uncultured bacterium
Lineage: Bacteria
Description: partial 16S ribosomal RNA
Rfam family: Bacterial small subunit ribosomal RNA
Source: RNAcentral
CAGUAGCCGCGGGAAUACGGAGGGAGCUAGCGUCGUUCGGAAUUACUGGGCGUAAAGCGCGCGUAGGCGGUUACUCAAGUCAGAGGUGAAAGCCCGGGGCUCAACCCCGGAACUGCCUUUGAAACUAGGUGACUAGAAUCUUGGAGAGGUCAGUGGAAUUCCGAGUGUAGAGGUGAAAUUCGUAGAUAUUCGGAAGAACACCAGUGGCGAAGGCGACUGACUGGACAAGUAUUGACGCUGAGGUGCGAAAGCGUGGGGAGCAAACAGGAUUAGAGACCCCUGUAGUCCCUGUCUCUUAUAC